Molecule: long non-coding RNA, 290 nt
Filed under: Musa acuminata (dwarf banana)
Lineage: Eukaryota; Viridiplantae; Streptophyta; Magnoliopsida; Zingiberales; Musaceae
Description: long non-coding RNA (MACU_LNC002565)
Source: RNAcentral
ACAUAUGCACAAUUGCUUCAUUAAAAUUUUAAGAUAAAUAAAGAAAACAAAUUAAAGCAAAGAACCAUAUUGCCAUCUUCGUCAAAAAUGUCAACUAAAAUUUUUUCCCCUUUUCCCGGUUUGGAGCUAAAUUUCUUAACAUCGGGAGAGACCAUUCUGACUCAAAAACAAAACCAAAAAACAUUGGCCAUUUCGAUAGUAGCCAACUAUAUACUGUACAAGGACUAUAAUAAAUUAACCAAACUCAUAAAGCGAUGAUUCAAUACUGCUUCAGCAAUUGGACGUUGACG